Molecule: microRNA precursor, 47 nt
Filed under: Erinaceus europaeus (western European hedgehog)
Lineage: Eukaryota; Metazoa; Chordata; Mammalia; Eulipotyphla; Erinaceidae
Description: miRNA (ENSEEUG00000016096.1)
Source: RNAcentral
AUGCAUGUAUGUGUGCAUGUACGUAUGCAUGCAUGUAUGUAUGUAUG